Molecule: ribosomal RNA, 497 nt
Filed under: uncultured bacterium
Lineage: Bacteria
Description: partial 16S ribosomal RNA
Rfam family: Bacterial small subunit ribosomal RNA
Source: RNAcentral
GAUGAACGCUGGCGGCGUGCCUAAUACAUGCAAGUCGAGCGAACAGACGAGGCGCUUGCUCCUCUGACGUUAGCGGCGGACGGGUGAGUAACAUGUGUAUAACCUACCUAUAAGACUGGGAUAACUUCGGGAAACCGGAGCUAAUACCGGAUAAUAUAUUGCACCGCAUGGUUCAAUAGUGAAAUACGGUUUUGCUGUCACUUAUAGAUGGUUCCGCGCGGCAUUAGCUAGUUGGUAAGUUAACGGCUUACCAAGGCGACGAGGCGUAGCCGACGGGAGAGGGUGGUCGGCGACCUGGGAGGUGAGACAGGGACCAGACGACUGAGGGACGGAGCAGAAGGGAACCGGACGCAAUGGUCGAGAGUAUGACGGAACGAGGGGGCGUGAGAGAUGAAAGUGUUCGGAUCGUAAAACUCUGUUAUGAGGGGAGAACAAAUGUGUAAGUAACUGUGCACGUCUUGACGGUAACGGGUAAGAAAGCCACGGCUAACUACGUG